GAUUCUGGCUCAGAACGAACGCUGGCGGCAUGGAUUAGGCAUGCAAGUCGAACGAAGCAGCAAUGCUUAGUGGCGCAAGGGUGAGGAACACGUGAGUGACCUACCCGCAAGUUUGGAACAGCUCCUGGAAACGGGAAUUAAUACCGGAUGUGAUCGAUGAACUGCAUGGUUUAUUGAUUAAAGCAGCAAUGCGCUUGCGGAUGGGCUCGCGUCCCAUUAGCUAGUUGGUGAGGUAACGGCCCACCAAGGCCAUGAUGGGUAGCUGGUCUGAGAGGACGACCAGCCACACUGGGACUGAGAACUGCCCAGACUCCUACGGGAGGCUGCAGUCGAGAAUUUUGGGCAAUGGACGAAAGUCUGAACCCCCAGCAAUGCCGCGUGCGGGAUGAAGGUCUUCGGAUUGUAAACCGCUGUUUGGAGGGACGAAAAUUGACGGUACUUCCAGAGGAAGCCACGGCUAACUACGUGCCAGCCGCUGC
RNAcentral lists this ribosomal RNA (479 nucleotides) under uncultured bacterium. RNAcentral's name for it is "bacterial SSU rRNA". It matches the Rfam family "Bacterial small subunit ribosomal RNA", at positions 15 to 518 of the family's 1533-position model. The record is from RNAcentral.